UACGUAGGGGGCAAGCGUUGUCCGGAAUUAUUGGGCGUAAAGGGCGCGUAGGCGGCGCGGUAUGUCACCUGUGAAAUCUCCUGGCUCAACUGGGAGCUUGCAGGCGAAACUGCCGUGCUGGAGUGUGGGAGAGGUGCGUGGAAUUCCUGGUGUAGCGGUGAAAUGCGUAGAUAUCAGGAGGAACACCUGUGGCGAAAGCGGCGCACUGGACCACAACUGACGCUGAGGCGCGAAAGCUAGGGGAGCAAACAGG
RNAcentral lists this ribosomal RNA (253 nucleotides) under uncultured bacterium. Its description in RNAcentral is "partial 16S ribosomal RNA". It matches the Rfam family "Bacterial small subunit ribosomal RNA", at positions 524 to 776 of the family's 1533-position model. The record is from RNAcentral.